RNAcentral lists this long non-coding RNA (201 nucleotides) under Nicotiana benthamiana. RNAcentral's name for it is "long non-coding RNA (NBEN_LNC020080)". The record is from RNAcentral. Lineage: Eukaryota; Viridiplantae; Streptophyta; Magnoliopsida; Solanales; Solanaceae.
AAGGAAAUUAGUUGAACUUAAUAAAAAUAAAAUAUAAAAUAAAGAAUCCAAAAAAUACUCGAUUUCUAUUUAUGGUUCCACAUUUCAUUUACAUGCAAUAAAAUACCUCGAAAGGUUUAAAGAUAAGAACUGCAUUUUUACUUCAUGAAAUAAAAAACAUGAAUCCCCGUUCGAUUCACUGGUCAAACUUGGAGAAAAAUA